This 448-nucleotide ribosomal RNA is filed under the name uncultured bacterium. RNAcentral's name for it is "bacterial SSU rRNA". It matches the Rfam family "Bacterial small subunit ribosomal RNA", at positions 64 to 507 of the family's 1533-position model. The record is from RNAcentral.
GAGCGGAUGAAGAGAGCUUGCUCUCUGAUUCAGCGGCGGACGGGUGAGUAAUGCCUAGGAAUCUGCCUGGUAGUGGGGGACAACGUCUCGAAAGGGACGCUAAUACCGCAUACGUCCUACGGGAGAAAGUGGGGGCUCUUCGGACCUCACGCUAUCAGAUGAGCCUAGGUCGGAUUAGCUAGUUGGUGAGGUAAUGGCUCACCAAGGCGACGAUCCGUAACUGGUCUGAGAGGAUGAUCAGUCACACUGGAACUGAGACACGGUCCAGACUCCUACGGGAGGCAGCAGUGGGGAAUAUUGGACAAUGGGCGAAAGCCUGAUCCAGCCAUGCCGCGUGUGUGAAGAAGGUCUUCGGAUUGUAAAGCACUUUAAGUUGGGAGGAAGGGCAUUAACCUAAUACGUUGAUGUUUUGACGUUACCGACAGAAUAAGCACCGGCUAACUCUGUG